This 386-nucleotide ribosomal RNA is filed under the name uncultured bacterium. Its description in RNAcentral is "bacterial SSU rRNA". It matches the Rfam family "Bacterial small subunit ribosomal RNA", at positions 30 to 418 of the family's 1533-position model. The record is from RNAcentral.
AUUGAACGCUGGCGGCAUGCCUUACACAUGCAAGUCGAACGGCAGCACGGGGCAACCUGGUGGCGAGUGGCGAACGGGUGAGUAAUGCAUCGGAACGUGCCAUUGAGUGGGGGAUAACGUAGCGAAAGUUGCGCUAAUACCGCAUAUUCUGUGAGCAGGAAAGCAGGGGACCGCAAGGCCUUGCGCUCUUUGAGCGGCCGAUGUCAGAUUAGCUAGUUGGUGAGGUAACGGCUUACCGAGGCGACGAUCUGUAGCGGGUCUGAGAAGAUGAUCCGCCACACUGGAACUGAGACACGGUCCAGACUCCUACGGGAGGCAGCAGUGGGGAAUUUUGGACAAUGGGCGCAAGCCUGAUCCAGCCAUGCCGCGUGAGUGAAGAAGGCCUU